GAUGAACGCUGACAGAAUGCUUAACACAUGCAAGUCGAUGGGGAAGUGGUGCUUGCACCAUGGCAACCAUGGCGGACGGGUGAGUAACGCGUAAGGGACUUACCUGCAGGACUGGGAUAACAAGGGGAAACUCCUGACAAGACCGGAUAAUGUCAUGGAGCUGCAUGGCUUUAUGAUGAAAGGAGACGCCUGCGGAGAGCCUUGCGUCCUAUUAGCUAGUUGGUGAGGUAAUGGCUCACCAAGGCGAAGAUAGGUAGCCGGCCUGAGAGGGUGGACGGCCACAAGGGGACUGAGAUACGGCCCUUACUCCUACGGGAGGCAGCAGUGGGGAAUAUUGGACAAUGGGGGCAACCCUGAUCCAGCAAUUCUGUGUGCACGAGGAAGGUUUUCGGAUUGUAAAGUGCUUUCAGCAGGGAAGAAGUAAGUGACGGUACCUGCAGAAGAAGCGACGGCUAAAUACGUG
Molecule: ribosomal RNA, 463 nt
Filed under: uncultured bacterium
Lineage: Bacteria
Description: partial 16S ribosomal RNA
Rfam family: Bacterial small subunit ribosomal RNA
Source: RNAcentral